This is a long non-coding RNA of Liolophura sinensis, 288 nucleotides long. RefSeq lists it as uncharacterized. The transcript is spliced from 3 exons. The record is from RefSeq and is a predicted model, not a curated record. NCBI's taxonomy places the organism in Eukaryota, Metazoa, Mollusca, Polyplacophora, Chitonida, Chitonidae.
AAGACUCAGAUAGGGGGAGCCACAAGAUUCACUGGCUUCUGUGUUGAUGUCAUGAACGAGCUGGCCUCUAAAAUGGGUUUUAGUUACACAAUAGUAGAACCCCCAGACGGAUAUUUCGGUGCCCUGAACAUGGAUGGAACAUGGAAUGGCAUGGUGGGCAUGGUGUACAGAGGGGAAGUGGAGAUGGCUACAGGCCCCGUCACGAUUACCUCUCUACGGGAACAGGUCAUAGACUUCACAACGCCCAUCACAGAGGGCAGCACCGGUAUUAUCAUGAGAUCCCCAGGG